Saccostrea echinata is the source of this 228-nucleotide long non-coding RNA. RefSeq lists it as uncharacterized. Lineage: Eukaryota; Metazoa; Mollusca; Bivalvia; Ostreida; Ostreidae. The transcript has 2 exons. The record is from RefSeq and is a predicted model, not a curated record.
AAUUCAGUGACCAAAAGGAAUCAUAAACAGGAAAAUAACACAGAUCCUGGAAAAAACAGAGGUUAGGAGAAGUAAGAAUUCCCUACCGACCGGUCACACCUGCCGUGAACCCCAUGUAUUGAUCAGAUUGAAUGCCCGUCUUUGAUGUAUCUAGAUCAUCUGGCUAUAGGAUGGAUUUUUUCCUUGACACAUCUUGAUUAUCUAAAAAUAAAGCUGGCUAAAAUCUUA